CGUCAGUGUUCAAUGAUUAACUUUCAGGUUUUCCAAGUACUUUGGGGUGCAUCGAUUGUACACAUGUGCAUAUCAAGAAGCCGGUAGACCAUGUGGAAGACUUUAUAGGGCGAAAGGGUGUUCCCACCAUCAACGUUCAGGCUGUGUGUGAUGCGAGCUACCGAAUAACAAGUUUCAGUGCCAGUUGGCCAGGGAGGACACAUGAUGCCAGGAUUUGGCGAAACUGUGAACUGAAACAGCAGUUUGAGAAUGGUCAACACGAUGGACUAUUGAUUGGCGACAGUGGGUAUGGUUGCUCGCGACAUUUAAUGACACCAUACCUUAGACCGUCAAAUCAAGCUCAGGAGCAAUUCAAUCGUUCCCUGUGCAGAACAAGAGUAACAAUAGAACAAACUUUUGGAAUUUUGAAAAAUAGGUUUGGCAUACUCAGGAAAAUCAGAACACAUCCACAAAGGGCUGUAAAAAUCAUAAGUGCAUGCAUUGUGCUACACAACAUUGCAAUAAUUCACAAUGAACUGAAUGAGAUUCCAGAAGAAAAUCACAUCUUGCCCGUUAACAACAAUCAAGGCAAUGAUGAUGAUAACAUGGAUGGGAGGGCAAUGAGGGAUUACAUAACCAGGGCAUUUUUUUUAGGAUAAUUCUGAACAACAUAUUAAGGAUAUGUGAACUUGCAAAAGACAACGUAUACGCUAAA
Molecule: long non-coding RNA, 694 nt
Organism: Dreissena polymorpha
Lineage: Eukaryota; Metazoa; Mollusca; Bivalvia; Myida; Dreissenidae
Exons: 3
Source: RefSeq, a predicted model, not a curated record